RNAcentral lists this long non-coding RNA (7495 nucleotides) under Setaria viridis. Its description in RNAcentral is "long non-coding RNA (SVIR_LNC008535)". The record is from RNAcentral. Lineage: Eukaryota; Viridiplantae; Streptophyta; Magnoliopsida; Poales; Poaceae.
AAAGCCUCUACCGCUUGAGGCUUGGUGGGAACAGGCUCAGUGGGAACAUCUCAGACUCAAUUUGUGAUGGCAUGGGCUUGACUUAUCUUGAGUUGGAUAACAAUCAGUUGACCGGAAAUAUACCGUCAGAGCUUGGUAACUGCAAGAACCUGUCCUUGUUGAGUCUGGCAUCAAAUAAGCUACAGGGUCAAGUGCCUCCUGCUAUCAGUAGCCUUGACAAGCUGGUAGUUCUGAAGCUUCAAAACAACUCUCUCAACGGACCUAUCCCAUAUGCAUUUUCUGAUUUAAAGAGCCUGAGCAUAUUGAAUCUUAGUCAGAAUUUACUCACGGGCGAGAUACCAAGCGGAAUUUUCGAGUUGCAAAAGCUUUCCAUCUUGGAUUUGCAUGACAACAGUAUCAGUGGUGCCAUUCCAAUUUCAGUCAGUUUAUCAAAGGCUCUAAUUGAGCUCAUUCUGGGGAAUAAUGCUCUGGCUGGUACCAUCCCAACAAUGCCAACCACACUAACCACGUCUCUUAAUCUUAGUCAGAACAAUCUCAGCGGAUCUAUUCCUUCAGAUAUUGGCUACUUAAGUGAAUUAGAGAUACUUGAUCUUUCAUACAACAGUCUGUCUGGUGAGAUGCCAUCUUCACUAGGGAACAUGCAAAGUUUGACACUGCUGGUGCUUUCUUAUAAUGAUCUUUCUGGGUCUGUUCCUAGCUUCCGCCAAAAUAUGUAUAUUCAUAUUGAAGGAAAUCCUGAUCUUGUAAAUGGUAGAGGAGACAAGAAUGGCAUCCAUACUACUAGUACGAGAAAAAGGCACACUGUUGUCAUCAUCAUCUUCAUUAUUGCUGGUGCUCUUGUUGGAUUAUGCUUGCUUGCUGUCAGUGUUACGAUGUCGUUAUCAGCUGGGGAGAGUGUUUCUCAAAUCAUCAAUGGUGGCCCAGUUAUGAACAACAACCAAACCUCUGCAACUGCAACUGAGUUCAUGAAAGCAAGGCCGGAUAACUGGCAGGUCACACGUUUCCAAGCUCUGAACUUCGAGGAUGCAGACAUACACCAGGGGCUAAUUGAGAAGAACCUCAUUGGCAGCGGCGGAUCAGGGCACGUGUACCGUGUCAUGUACAUCAACCGGUGCAACGGCAGCACUGGGGUGGUCGCUGUGAAGCUGAUACGGAAUACUGGGAGCCUGGACGAGAAGCUGGAGCGUGAAUUCGAGUCUGAGGUGAGCAGCCUUGGUAACGUCAGGCACAAUAACAUCGUCAGGCUGCUGUGCUGCAUCUCUGGUGAUGAGUCAAAGCUCCUCGUGUACGAUUACAUGGACAACGGCAGCCUGGACAAUUGGCUCCAUGGCAACACCCUCUGCACAGGGCACUCCAUGGUGAGGCCGCAGUCUGUGCAGCGCGUACCGUUGGACUGGCCGACGAGGCUUAUAGUGGCUGUUGGUGCCGCACAGGGACUGUGCUACAUGCAUCACGACUGUUCACCACCUAUCAUUCACCGGGACAUCAAGACGAGCAAUAUCUUACUGGACUCCGAGUUCCAGGCUAAGGUUGCGGACUUCGGGCUGGCCAGGAUGCUGGUGCGGGCAGGGGAGCCCAACACGAUGUCUGCAGUGGCCGGAUCGUUUGGCUACAUGGCUCCCGGUAAGGUCAACUCUUUUGUUAUUUCGGCAGAUUUCACUCAUUUUGCCAGAUUCUGUACAGUAACUAGGGUAGUAGCUACUGUAAAUAUCAUAGGUCAUAAUAUGCCAGACCUUAUUAUAUUACAAUUUUUCAUGUUUAUCUGCAGAGUAUGCUUACACGAGGAAGGUGAAUGAGAAGGUGGAUGUCUACAGCUUUGGAGUCGUGCUCUUGGAGCUCACAACCGGCAAGAAGGCCAACGAUGGCGGCGAGCUUGGUUGCCUGGCCGAAUGGGCUCGGCACCACUACCAAUCAGGGGCGGCCAUCCUCGAUGUUAUAGACAAAAGCAUCAGGUAUGCAGGAUACCCUAACGAGAUUGAGACUGUGUUCAGCCUAGGCGUGCAAUGCACCUCAACCUUUCCAUUGACACGGCCGACUAUGAAGAAUGUGCUGCGGAUUUUGCUCAAGUGCUGCGAUCAGACGCUCCGGAAAAGCAGAAUGGAGUUUAGCAUGGAGUACGAAGCAGCUCCAUUCUUGAUGCCAUAGCGGAGCAGCUGUCAGGAACAGAUGUCCAACGGCAAAGGAAAGAAGUAUUAUUGAAAACUGAAGAGAAGAGUGACUUCAAUUGCAGUGCUGAACUCUUAGGAUAAAACUUGACACUGCACACAGGACAUAUUUUGUUUUCAGAACAUGCUAGGACAUAUUUAUUUUUAAGUGGAGUUGCAGUAGUAGCCAUGUGUGAGUAGUUUCUAGUCGUUUUUGUAUCCUCUGUUUUUUUUUCUAUGGCAAAUCUCUUUGACGUCUUAAGAUAUGCUCCCACCAUUCCAAAUUACUGUUCGUGUUCGUUUUGGUUUUUUUAAUUGCAUAUCUUUUACUAUGCGUAUAUGCGUAUAGUUAUGUAUAUAGAAAAGUCAAAACGAAUAGUAAUUUGGGACGGAGGGAGUAGAUACAGACACGCUCACUCGAUAAUCAACAGUUAUAAUCGGGGGAAUUGUGACCUGAGAAUGAAUUACUGGUGGUUUAGUUUGAAUUUCAAGUACAAUUCGGCCCAUUACCAUAUGAAACAAGUCUUUGCCUCGGAAAACCAUCCAGACCCCUCCAAUUUAAACAAAGCAUACACCGUACAUGUUUAUCACAAAUCACAAUCGACAUGACGUUGUUUGCCUUUUUUUCCCCGAGAAGCCUAUCAUACUAGAUCAUUCUCAAUGCAAGUUCUACGAGUGUUUCAAUCUGUGUUUCAAUCUCAUUAAAUGACGUGUUACGUAGGUCUAAAUGGUGAUAUGGUAUAAAAUUUAUGAAGAAAGAGAGAAAUUGGGUUUCAUAGGGAUGAAACCCUGUGUACACGGUUACCUAGACUUUGAAACUACGAUGAAACUCCAUUGAGAAAAUUUAUUUCAUCUUCGUAAUUUUUGUCGAUCCUAUGUGGCCAUGGUUAGUAUGCCACUACUUAAUUUAGGUACAAGUGGUUGCAUAUUUAUAUGGCAUAUUUGAUCUCAACACCAUACAACAAUUAAAUACUAUGAGUAGCUUAUGAAAUUGUGAUAUGAAAUUGUGUAUUGUGAGGGGUUGUUUCAUUCAUCAACUUAAAUCUUUGAAGAUGAUGUGGCACUUUUAGAAACCGUGUAAUGAAACUCUCCACUGAGAAUACUCUUAAAUCCUCGCUGGGAGAUUAGUGAUGACUCUGUCUCGAGACUCUAACCAAACUAUUUUACACCCUUUUCUAUUAGGCUUUCGGCACUGUGCAUUGCACCUGGAGAAGCUUGAAUCAGAGUGAGGCACACUCAACACCCCUGAAUAAUCUAGACUCUAUAGUAGCCUUUUGCCUAACUGCUUGCUUGCUGGUCUAAUCCGUGUGACAGUUUCACAUCGAGACCCAAAACUCCAAGGAUCAUCCUUGACAGGGUAGAGCCUACAGUUUCACGUACAAAAAGGUAGCCUUUCCUCCGGCUCCUCUCCGUAAAACACGGCUUGUCUCCCCCUGAUGCGAAAGCAAAGGCCAUUUGAAGCUUUAGCUUUCGUCUUUCCUGUUGAUUACUCCUUCCCAGCUGGUACGGCCAUCUUGCUACUUUUUUUUUCGAGGCAUUGUCAGUCGCGAUAUGGUACCGAACACAGAUCCAAAGCUUGCUUUCAAUAGCAUUCCCUAGUGCUCUCUAUUUUACUCUGAAUAAACUGAAUGCAAAUAUUUUAUUUUUCGUUUGCUCAGGGGGGAAAACUUCCAAAAUUGUUGUCAGGUCUUUACUUGCAACAUCCUUUGGACUGGCCUGUGAUACCUGUUGGACCUGGUCGCAGCAGGAGGUCCCAUGCAUCAUCUAUCGUCAGAGAAGAAGCUGCACUGCAGAAACCGGAACCAUGGCACGUUUUAGAUUUUAGGUGUUGUGGAGAAUCCUGACGAAACGAUUCCGUGGAAAACGCCAUAUGGCCGUGUGUGAGAGAACGGUGAAGUCUCCGUUCAACGUCUCCUCGUCAAGUGUGUGGACUGAGUGAGCUCCUUUUCCCUGCUAGAAUAUUUUUCAGGUAAACCAAAGCCACUCCAAACCUAGGUCUCGGUCAAGCUUCUUUGGCAUUUCCAACGCGUCGCCAUUUUCCUUGGGUUGGUCCACGGUUUGCUUUUCCAAUUCUUGCGUUUGCGUCAGCAGUCCCGUUCACGUUUCAUACCUGGAUCCAGUGAUCACACAGUUUGAGCUACAACUAGUCCUUUUCAGAAUUAUAAGAGGCUCCCGGUUGUAGCUGAGCCAGAGCACCAGCUUCUUUGACCCGGCAUAGCUAAAGCUACUUUAUUUUAAGCGAAACUUCAAAACCGUCCACCUUUUCGAUAAAAUUUGUUCCUAGGGGACGACGGGAUACUAUGGGCUAAACUUUAGGCCUGUCAUGUCGGAUGUUCGGAUGCUAAUUAGCAGGACUAAAUAUGAACUUCUGCUAUUAGUUUUGUAAUUAGCCUAUAAUUAAUACUCCUAAUUAGUGUCAAACCUCCGAUAUGACAGGAGCUUAGUCCCUGUCUCCAAACACCCCUUAAUCUUAAUGCGCCCGAUAUGGAUAACUCAGCACAAACUUGUACUCCGUUCACUCAUAAUUAGCAAAGAUACUAAGGGCCUGUUUGUUUCCACCCUCCUAAAACCUUAGCUCCUAAAAAGUGACUAAAAUCUUUUAGGAGCCUCAAAAAUUUUAGUCCCCCCACCCCCUCCUAAAGCCUCCUAAAAUCAGAUCUGGACCCCCACUACCCCUCAUUUAUUACCCUUUCUCUCCUGCCCAACUCCCGCCCGCCGCCGCCGCCGCCCAGCACCCUCAACACACCCACGCACACAGGCACGAGCCGGCAACGCAUGGCCGGCCGUGGCCUUGGCCGGCGGCGGGGAAUGGCAAGGCGCGGUCGGUGACGGGCGCAGGAGCACCGGGGCUUCACCACGAUCCCGUUUUGGCUGCUUGUUGGGGACAAGGAGGCCGGGGAGGUGGUGUUCGGCGGCGGCGCCCGAGCUUGGGCCGGCGGUAAUGGCGGCCGCGGGGUCUGACAUCCCCGGCGCGCGGUAAUGGCGGCCGCGGGGUCUGACAUCCCUGGCGCCAGGAGCUACGGCGGCGGACAAGGAGUGGUUGAGGGGGAAGAGGAGGGGGUCAGGAAGCCGUGGGAGGCGGCGAUUUGAAGAUGGUGGAGCGGAGGCUGGGGAUUUGGCCGGCGGACGGGCUCUGCUCAGCUCGGUGUUUCCUCAGUUGGAGGAGGAAGAAGAGAUGAGUGAGUGAGAGAGAGAGGAACAGGGGUAGCGGGUUGGUCGGGAUUCGAGGGGAGGGGGCGGCGCCAGCGGGAGGAGGGGAGGGGCGGUCCGGGGCCGGCGGCGGGAUGGCCAGCGCCGACGGAGGGGCGGUCCGGGGCUAGUGGCGGGCGGGCCAAGCGCCAACAGUAGGGGCAUGCAGGUCCCUGCAUGGGGGAAGGAUAUCUUGGGUAUUUUACCACUUUAUUAUUGCCUUUAGUCACUUUUAGGAGGUGGAACCAAACAUACUUUUAGGAGGUGUCUAAAAACUGCCUAAAAUCUUUUAGAAGCUAAAAACUUUAGGAAACAAACAGCCCCUAAAUCACAAUUCAUACCACACUCUAGUCUACGGAGUAGACGGCGGUGUACGUCAGUCAGUCAGUCAACGCUGGACCCAACCCGAACCCAAGAGAAGGGGCACCAGAAAAACAUCAAGAAAAAUUAUAAGAAAUCACGGCCUCUGCCCCGCUCUCUCCCCAGUCUCCUCUCAAUCGCCCUGAAGAACAUAACCCAAGAAGGUCAUGGCGGAGCACACCCGGAACCCCAGAACCUAGAGAGAGGGGGGAAAGAUCUCGUCAUUUUUUUAGUUUUUUACUUCCUGCUGCUCCGGCCGGUGAAGUUCAGCGGGAGUGAAGGGGAGAGGAAGAGGCGAAGCGAUCAGAGAAGUGGAAGGCAAGAAGGUUCAAUCAGAUGGCUAUGGUGGGGAUGAGGAGGUAUUGUCUCUGCGCCAGCCAUGGUUUCUUCGUGCUAGUGUUUCUCCCGUUCUUGUUCUUGUUUCACCAUGCGCCCGUGGCCGCCGGCGCCGAUGCGCCGUCUUCGCAACCAUCACUGAACAAGACGCAGGAAGCCAUCAUGAAGGAUCUCUUGAGGAUCGUUGGUAGCAGCAGUUGGUCGAACACCACCACCUCGAAUCCUUGUAAGUGGAGCGGAGUCAACUGCACGCGCUCCGGUUCCUCUUGGGUGGUGACCAACAUAACCUUGCCCAACUGUGGAAUAUCAAACUCUUCCAUCUUCGCUUCCAUUUGCCGUCUUGAGAGCUUGCUGGCCCUUGACCUCUCCAGAAAUUCCUUGACAAAUUUGACCACCCAAUUCUUCUCCCCUUCUUGUUCGAUGAAGGAAGGGUUGCGUCUCCUCAAUCUGAGCAGGAACAUGUUAUCUCACCCGCUCAGUAAUUUCUCAGCUUUCCCACAACUGGAGGUUCUUGAUUUGUCCUUCAAUUCUUUUACUAGUGAAAAUUUGAGUGCGGACUUGGGUUCUUUUCUCAAAUUGAGGAGCUUGAACGUUAGUGCCAAUAAGUUGAGUGGCAAAGUUCCUACUUCUAUGGUCAGCUCUUUGUUGGAGUUGGUAUUGUCUGGUAAUCAGUUGAGUGGUUCAAUUCCUCUAGAUUUGUUUAAAUAUGAAAAUCUUACUCUGCUGGAUCUCAGCCAGAAUGUUCUAACUGGCGUUGUCUCAGAUAAGUUCAUGGAUCUCUCCAAGCUUGAGACUUUGCUCCUUUCAGGCAAUAAACUGAUUGGGGAAAUACCACCGAGUCUGUCGAAUGUAACGACGCUGUCUCGGUUUGCGGCUAACCAGAACAACUUCACUGGUCCAAUUCCCAGCAAUAUUACCAAACAUGUAAGGAUGUUGGAUCUGAGUUACAACAAUCUGGAUGGGAUGAUUCCCUUGGAUUUUCUCUCCCAUCCAGGGUUGCAGAGUGUUGAUCUUACCACAAACAUGCUUGAAGGGUCUAUUCCCCGCAACUUCUCUCAAAGCCUCUACCGCUUGAGGCUUGGUGGGAACAGGCUCAGUGGGAACAUCUCAGACUCAAUUUGUGAUGGCAUGGGCUUGACUUAUCUUGAGUUGGAUAACAAUCAGUUGACCGGAAAUAUACCGUCAGAGCUUGGUAACUGCAAGAACCUGUCCUUGUUGAGUCUGGCAUCAAAUAAGCUACAGGGUCAAGUGCCUCCUGCUAUCAGUAGCCUUGACAAGCUGGUAGUUCUGAAGCUUCAAAACAACUCUCUCAACGGACCUAUCCCAUAUGCAUUUUCUGAUUUAAAGAGCCUGAGCAUAUUGAAUCUUAGUCAGAAUUUACUCACGGGCGAGAUACCAAGCGGAAUUUUCGAGUUGCAAAAGCUUUCCAUCUUGGAUUUGCAUGACAACAGUAUCAGUGGUGCCAU